GGACAAUGGGCGGAAGCCUGAUCCAGCCAUGCCGCGUGUGUGAAGAAGGCCUUUUGGUUGUAAAGCACUUUAAGCGAGGAGGAGGCUACCUAGAUUAAUACUCUGGGAUAGUGGACGUUACUCGCAGAAUAAGCACCGGCUAACUAUGUGCCAGCAGCCGCGGUAAUACAGAGGGUGCGAGCGUUAAUCGGAUUUACUGGGCGUAAAGCGUGCGUAGGCGGCUGAUUAAGUCGGAUGUGAAAUCCCUGAGCUUAACUUAGGAAUUGCAUUCGAUACUGGUCAGCUAGAGUAUGGGAGAGGAUGGUAGAAUUCCAGGUGUAGCGGUGAAAUGCGUAGAGAUUUGGAGGAAUACCGAUGGCGAAGGCAGCCAUCUGGCCUAAUACUGACGCUGAGGUACGAAAGCAUGGGGAGCAAACAGGAUUAGAUACCCUGGUAGUCCAUCCCGUAAACGAUGUUUACUAGCCGUUGGGGCCUUUGAGGC
Molecule: ribosomal RNA, 481 nt
Filed under: uncultured bacterium
Lineage: Bacteria
Description: bacterial SSU rRNA
Rfam family: Bacterial small subunit ribosomal RNA
Source: RNAcentral